Ribosomal RNA from Cercocebus atys (sooty mangabey), 119 nucleotides. NCBI's taxonomy places the organism in Eukaryota, Metazoa, Chordata, Mammalia, Primates, Cercopithecidae. The record is from Ensembl.
GUCUAUGGCCAUGUCAGCCUGAACGCACCUGAUCUUGUCUGAUCUCGGAAGCGAGGCAGGUUCAGGCCUGGUUCGUAUUUGGAUGGAAGACCAUCAGGGAAUACCGAGUGCUGCAGGCU